Molecule: ribosomal RNA, 301 nt
Filed under: uncultured bacterium
Lineage: Bacteria
Description: partial 16S ribosomal RNA
Rfam family: Bacterial small subunit ribosomal RNA
Source: RNAcentral
CAGUCGCCGCGGGAAUACGAGGGGAGCUAGCGUUAUUCGGAAUUACUGGGCGUAAAGCGCACGUAGGCGGCUUUGUAAGUUAGAGGUGAAAGCCCAGAGCUCAACUCUGGAAUUGCCUUUAAGACUGCAUCGCUUGAAUCCAGGAGAGGUGAGUGGAAUUCCGAGUGUAGAGGUGAAAUUCGUAGAUAUUCGGAAGAACACCAGUGGCGAAGGCGGCUCACUGGACUGGUAUUGACGCUGAGGUGCGAAAGCGUGGGGAGCAAACAGGAUUAGAUACCCGUGUAGUCCCUGUCUCUUAUAC